CCUACGGGAGGCAGCAGUGGGGGAUAUUGCACAAUGGGGGCAACCCUGAUGCAGCGAUGCCGCGUGGGCGAAGAAGUAUUUCGGUAUGUAAAGCCCUAUCAGCAGGGAAGAAGAAAUGACGGUACCUGAGUAAGACGCACCGGCUAAAUACGUGCAAACCGACGCGGUAAUACGUAGGGUGCAAGCGUUAUACGGAUUUACUGGGUGUAAAGGGUGUGAAGGCGGGACGGCAAGCCUGAUGUGAAAGCCCGGGGCCUAACCGGGGGACUGCAUGGGGGACUGCCUGGCUAGAGUGCCGGAGAGGGAGGCGGAAUUCCUAGUGUAGCGGUGAAAUGCGUAGAUAUGAGGAAGAACACCAGUGGCGAAGGCAGCCUACUGGACGGUAACUGACGCUCAGGCACGAAAGCGUGGGGAGCAAACAGGAUUAGAUACCCUUGUAGUC
Molecule: ribosomal RNA, 442 nt
Filed under: uncultured bacterium
Lineage: Bacteria
Description: partial 16S ribosomal RNA
Rfam family: Bacterial small subunit ribosomal RNA
Source: RNAcentral